RNAcentral lists this transfer RNA (80 nucleotides) under Nitrososphaerales archaeon. RNAcentral's name for it is "tRNA-Ile". It matches the Rfam family "tRNA". Rfam says of the family: Transfer RNA (tRNA) molecules are approximately 80 nucleotides in length. Their secondary structure includes four short double-helical elements and three loops (D, anti-codon, and T loops). Lineage: Archaea; Thermoproteati; Nitrososphaerota; Nitrososphaeria; Nitrososphaerales. The record is from RNAcentral.
GGGCCUGUAGCUCAGCCAGGUAGAGGAUGAGUGUUUGCCUUAUCACCAGUAGGUCGUGGGUCCAAAUCCCACCAGGCCCG